UUCCGGUUGAUCCUGCCGGAGGUCACCGCUAUUGGGAUCUGACUAAGCCAUGCGAGUCGAGAGGGUUCGGCCCUCGGCAGACUGCUCAGUAACACGUGGAUAAUCUACCCUUAGGUGGAGGAUAACCUCGGGAAACUGAGAAUAAUACUCCAUAAGUCUAGGAUGCUGGAAUGCACUUAGACUAAAAGUUCCGGCGCCUAAGGAUGAGUCUGCGGACUAUCAGGUUGUAGUCAGGGUAAAGACCUGACUAGCCUACAACGGAUACGGGUUGUGAGAGCAAUAACCCGGAGAUGAUAUCUGAGACACGAUAUCGGGCCCUACGGGGCGCAGCAGGCGCGAAACCUUCACACUGCGCGAAAGCGCGAUGAGGGGAUCCCGAGUGCUAACUCGAAAGAGUUGGCUGUUUAUUUGUCUAAAAAGCAAGUAGAGUAAGAGCUGGGUAAGACGGCUGCCAGCCGCCGCGGUAAUAGCUGCAGCUCGAGUGGUGACCACUAUUAUUGGGCCUAAAACGUCCGUAGCCGGUUUAGUAAAUGCCUGGGUAAAUCGUGCCGCUCAACGGUACGAAUUCCGGGUAGACUGCUAGACUUGAGACUGGGAGAGGUUAGAGGUACUUCUGGGGUAGAGGUGAAAUUCUGUAAUCCUAGGGGGACCACCUGUGGCGUAAGCGUCUAACCAGAACGGGUCUGACGGUAAGGGACGAAGCCCUGGGUCGCAAACCGGAUUAGAUACCCGGGUAGUCCAGGGUGUAAACGCUGCUUGCUUGAUGUUAGUUGGGCUACGUGCCCAACUAGUGUCGGAGAGAAGUUGUUAAGCAAGCUGCCUGGGAAAUACGGUCGCAAGGCUGAAACUUAAAGGAAUUGGCGGGGGAGCACAGCAACGGGUGGAGCGUGCGGUUUAAUUGGAAUCAACGCCGGUAAUCUC
This 921-nucleotide ribosomal RNA is filed under the name uncultured archaeon. RNAcentral's name for it is "bacterial SSU rRNA". It matches the Rfam family "Archaeal small subunit ribosomal RNA", at positions 1 to 928 of the family's 1478-position model. The record is from RNAcentral.